This 578-nucleotide ribosomal RNA is filed under the name uncultured bacterium. RNAcentral's name for it is "bacterial SSU rRNA". It matches the Rfam family "Bacterial small subunit ribosomal RNA", at positions 347 to 916 of the family's 1533-position model. The record is from RNAcentral.
GGCAGCAGUGGGGAAUUUUGCGCAAUGGGGGAAACCCUGACGCAGCGACGCCGCGUGGAGGAUGAAGGCCCUCGGGUCGUAAACUCCUGUCAGGUGGGACGAAAUGGCAUCAGUUAAUACCUGGUGUCUUUGACUGUACCACCAGAGGAAGCUCCGGCUAACUCCGUGCCAGCAGCCGCGGUAAGACGGAGGGAGCAAGCGUUGUUCGGAAUUACUGGGCGUAAAGGGCUAGUAGGCGGCUUGGCAAGUCCGGUGUGAAAGCCCUCGGCUCAACCGAGGAAUUGCAUUGGAAACUGCUGAGCUAGAGUCCGGGAGAGGUGAGCGGAAUUCCCAGUGUAGCGGUGAAAUGCGUAGAUAUUGGGAGGAACACCAGCGGCGAAGGCGGCUCACUGGACCGGUACUGACGCUCAGAAGCGAAAGCUAGGGGAGCGAAAGGGAUUAGAUACCCCAGUAGUCCUAGCUGUAAACGAUGGGCACUUGGUGCAGGUGGUAUCGACCCCGCCUGUGCCGUAGCUAACGCGUUAAGUGCCCCGCCUGGGGAGUACGGUCGCAAGGCUGAAACUCAAAUGAAUUGACGG